Scylla paramamosain (green mud crab) is the source of this 637-nucleotide long non-coding RNA. RefSeq lists it as uncharacterized. The transcript is spliced from 3 exons. Lineage: Eukaryota; Metazoa; Arthropoda; Malacostraca; Decapoda; Portunidae. The record is from RefSeq and is a predicted model, not a curated record.
GAUUUGGAUUACGGAUACGUGUGACAUACCUUGUCAGUACUACUUUCUUUAUUGACAGAUACAUCUCCAUGCACGAGUAUCAACCCUUCCAAAAAAUCCUGUAUCGUUACUUUCGCAAUCAUCGGUCAUCUGAAUAUAGUUUUCUGAACGAAUGUAUCUUGUAUGAUCAACAGUCAUCUAACAUCAGGCAAAUCUGAGGUCUACACUGGCGACAUGUGGCAGCUCGAUGCGUGACUUCAUGCCCAGUAGCAGGAGGAAUUUACUCAUCACUGCACAGGAUAUGGGGCACGCUAUGCUCCAUGUUCCGAGGUCUCCAGGCUGUGGGCGAAAACCAGCGUUGGGUAUGGCGAACACCCGUGGAGAGUACAGUGUCCACAAAGUUGUGAGGUGCCAUCACAACCAGCGCCACAAGGAAUCGCGUGGAUAGCGAGGCGUCUUCAUGAGGGAAAGCACGAAUUUGAGGAAGUCAGUGGUGGUGGUGUGUGUCCACUUUUGUGACGGCUCCCCUCUGACGGAUCUGAGAAGAACGACGGAAACAUGUAGGUUAGGAGGAUUCAUGAUCGGGGUGCGGACGUCGUCUACAUUUUGACUUCUGUUUCUUGACGGAUACUUAGUCUAAAAUAAACUCCUUGCCUGC